This 72-nucleotide transfer RNA is filed under the name Clostridiales bacterium. RNAcentral describes it as "tRNA-Asn". It matches the Rfam family "tRNA". From Rfam's summary of the family: Transfer RNA (tRNA) molecules are approximately 80 nucleotides in length. Their secondary structure includes four short double-helical elements and three loops (D, anti-codon, and T loops). Further hydrogen bonds mediate the characteristic L-shaped molecular structure. tRNAs have two regions of fundamental functional importance: the anti-codon, which is responsible for specific mRNA codon recognition, and the 3' end, to which the tRNAs corresponding amino acid is attached (by aminoacyl-tRNA synthetases). tRNAs cope with the degeneracy of the genetic code in two manners: having more than one tRNA (with a specific anti-codon) for a particular amino acid; and 'wobble' base-pairing, i.e. permitting non-standard base-pairing at the 3rd anti-codon position. Lineage: Bacteria; Bacillati; Bacillota; Clostridia; Eubacteriales. The record is from RNAcentral.
UCCUCAGUAGCUCAAUGGCAGAGCACCCGGCUGUUAACCGGGUUGUUGUAGGUUCGAGCCCUACCUGGGGAG